GUCCAUAUUACCUGUCCACCUUUUUCACCUUGUUUAGUGGAAGGAGAGCACGUGAGGGUGACGAGGACAGGUGUUUCGCUCUCUUAUUGUCUCCUUCUACCUGUGGACGCCUAAGUGGAAGUAGAUUACGCGAGGGUGACAGACAGGUGUUUCGCUCUCUUAUUGUCUCCUUCUACCUGUGGACGCCUAAGUGGAAGUAGAUUACGUGAGGGUGAAGAAGACAGGUGUUUCGCUCUCUUAUUGUUUCCUUGUACCUGUGGACGCCUAAGUGGAAGUAGAUUACGUGAGGGUGACGAGGACAGGUGUUUCGCUCUCUUAUUGUCUCCUUCUACCUGUGGACGCCUAAGUAGAAGUAGAUUACGCGAGAGUGAACAAGACAAGGUGUGUCGCUCUCUUACUUUCUCCUCCUACCUGUUAAAACCUAAUUAAGUGAAAGUAGAGUAGCUAAGUGUGACAAAACCAGGUGUACCGGUUCUUCUGAGUCUUGUCCUAUCUGUGAACACCUUAAUAAGUGGAAGCAGAACACGUGAAGGCUAAAAAGACAGGUGUACCGGUCCUUCUCAGUCUCCUCUUACCUGUGAAAACCUUAGUAAGUGAAAGUACAGCACGUGGAGGGAAAGAAAUCCAGGUGUAUCGCUCUCUUUCUCCCUUCUCCUACCUGUGCAAAACCUUAAUAAGUGAAAGUACAGCACGUGAGGGUGAACAAAACUAGGUGUAUCGCUCCUCUACAACCUCCUCCUACCUGUGCACAGCUUAAUAAGUGGAAGUAGAGCACCUGAGAGUGAAGAAGACCAGGUGUAUCGCCCUCAUACCCUCUAUUUAUGCACAUAUGAUUAAGUGAAAGUAGAGCACGUGAAGGUGACGAAGACAGGUGUAUCGCUCCUCUGCAGUCUCUACCUGUGCAAACCUUAUUAGAAAGUGAAAGUGAAAGUAGAGCACGUAAGAGGAAGGUGAAUCCCUCCUCUACAGUUCCUCCUACCUUUUCGAACCUCAUCACCUUCACUGGAACCCCCUGAGCAGUCAUCAAUAAUCUAGUUCGUAAUAGAAAUCAAAAUCUUAGAACGUGAUAGUGAGAUCAAGGGCAAUAUUAUCCUUUUUGCCGUUUAUCAUUUCCGUUGUCGUUGUUACGUAGCUGUCCAGAGAGACUUCACUAUCUGUUACACUGUAUCGCAUCGCACCGUCUCAACGAAUGUACGUAAGUGUGUCAGUAGCAUCGCGUAGUUAGGUUAACGAACAUUGAAGGGGAGCGUCUCGGUGUAAGAGGUUGCCGUAAGGUGUAACGUUAGCAGCGCACAGGUGUGUAGGUGUGUUAGUAGCGUUCAUUAACCUGUCGUCCCGCCCCUUGAAUCGCCACGCACACGGACUACAAUAAGGUAUAAACUCUUAAGUACAGGCCAAUAACUACUUUAGAAGGUCACUGAAACUUCACACCUACACGGACUACACCUGAACGUACAGUCCUCACUACUGGAGAAGGCAUAAGUAAACACACACACACACACACACACACACACACACACACACACACACACACACACACACACACAGAGAUACUUGUACUUCGCAUAGGUUAACAGUCAGUUCAUCUACACUUAAACACAGCGAAUCCUCACCAUUUAAUGAACAAAGUCCUCCUCAAACACGCAUAGAGUACACUCAAGCAAACACUACACAUACAUUUAAACACAGCCAGUCCUCACCUCAUAAAUUUAAUAACACACGGAUAAGCAAACACACUUAAACGGACCGCACUCAAGCAUACUGUCCACCUACACUUAAGUAACACCAGACAUCACCACUUGUAGGGCAUAGAAAUCACAGUCACACUUACACAACCCGCUACACUUACACAUACUUCACAACCUCACUAAUUACAUGACAUAGCGAUAACCAGCCACACGAACGACCCACUAUACUUAAAACACUUCUCAACUCUACCACGUACAGGACAUAGUAAUCAACAACCACACUUACACGACCCACUAUACUUAAUACACUUCUCAACUCUACCACUUAAAGAACAAAGCAAUCAACAACCACACUUUCACGACCCGCUACACUUAAAACACUUCUCAACUCUACCACUUAAAGAACAAAGCAAUCAACAACCACACUUACACAACCCGCUACACUUAUACACUUCUCAACUCUACCACUUACAGGACAAAGCAAUCAACAACCACACUUACACGACCCGCUACACUUACACACACAUCUCAGCGCCACUUUAAGACCGCGUAUCCAGUACUCGUUAAACAAUCAAAACAUUAGCGCUUAAGUUAGUCGGUCAGUCGGUCAGAGCGCCCCGCCGGCGUCAUCCAUUAUUACCUCAUGUCGCACAGGUAACAGUUAAUUAGUAAGCUCACGUCAACUUAGCUUUAAUAAGUAGGAUUAGGUUAGAGAGGUAAACACUAACUUCCGCCCGCUUGCACGCUCACACGCUCACGCACUCACGCAACCACGCCAGCACGCAAGCAUACCCGCCAGCCAGCCAGGUAGUCACGCAAAGCAACGCACGCAAACACAUACACACUCAAACACGCACUUUCUUCCUUGAUCGUUUCGGAAAAUUAAGGAAAUAAUCAGAACUAAGAGGUAAGAAAUAAGAACUGUACAGCAUCCCGCAUUUUCUGAUCUUUCUCUCUUUUCCGCGUCAGAAUCAAACAUAAAGAACAGUACAAUAACAAUAACAACAACAACAGUAACAGGACACACACGCCCCCGCCGCCACCGCCGCCGCCUCCGCCGCCGCCGCCGUUGGUACAGAGAACAAUUAGUGGAGUUGCGAGCGUAGAGUGCACGUGCGCAAGGUACUGACACACACACACACACACACACACACACACACACACACACACACAUACACACAUACAUCUCCUCCUUCUCCUCUUCGUCCUCCUCUUCGUCCUCCUUUCACCUCAUCAGUCUUUCCCCCUCUUGCCUCUUCCUCCACCUCCUCUUGUCCCUUUGUCAUCACUCUCCUCCUUCGCAUCCUCCUCCUUCUCCUUCUUCGCUUCCUCUCCUCACUGUCCACCUGCUUUAAGGAUUGGCUCAUAAGACUGCUCAGCGCUUAGGAAACAAUCACAGCUAGAUACAUUAUAGGAGAGAGAGAGAGAGAGAGAGAGAGAGAGAGAGAGAGAGAGAGAGAGAGAGAGAGAGAGAGAGAGAGAGAGAGAGUU
This is a long non-coding RNA of Eriocheir sinensis (Chinese mitten crab), 3179 nucleotides long. RefSeq lists it as uncharacterized. Lineage: Eukaryota; Metazoa; Arthropoda; Malacostraca; Decapoda; Varunidae. The record is from RefSeq and is a predicted model, not a curated record. The transcript is spliced from 2 exons.